Molecule: long non-coding RNA, 5551 nt
Organism: Prinia subflava (tawny-flanked prinia)
Lineage: Eukaryota; Metazoa; Chordata; Aves; Passeriformes; Cisticolidae
Exons: 2
Source: RefSeq, a predicted model, not a curated record
UUCCCGCCGCUGCCGCCGCCGCGACCUCCGCGCUCCCGCCCCGCCGGCCCGGCCCCCGCCCCGCCCGCCGGCAGCGGGAGCGGGGCGCACGGGGCCGCGGCUGUGCGCGAACUCACUUCGCAAGAAGACAGGCGCCCAACGUGUUCUGCGAUCACAGCUACAGGUGGGAAAGUGGAGUUGAAUGAUGGAGAACAUUCACUUCAAGACAGGUGAUCCAAUGUUUGCAGGAGACCUCAGGAGCUGAAGUUCAAAGCCCUAAACCCAAAGCACAAGGGAGACCACUUCGCUCUUACUUCACUAUCUUGGGAAGAUGCUUGAAAGAAUCAACAUUGCUCCUUGCAAGCUGCUGAAGGUUAAAGAGCUGCUCAGCAUUAUAUGCACCUAUUUGUAAUUUACACAUCAACAUCUAUUUGUCAUGCAUUGAAACUAUUUCCAUACAAAGAUGAUGUCCUGAGGAGCAGCAAAGACAGCAUGUCAGUUUUAGGACAAAGAAGCUUGCAGUAAUGGAUGAAAAAGCUCAGAUGUAUCUUGCUAAAGAUCAUUUACUCCCUCCCCUGGAAGGAGAGUACUUGGCAAAAUGUCACCUGGCACAUUACUAGUAGUAAUUAAAAAAAAAAUCUAUAUGACAAAAAUCUUGUGAAAAUGGGAUUAAGGAAUUUGGAACAGUUGUAGAAAAUCAGAAUACUAAUUGAAAAAGUCAGUCUUCAUUUUUCCUAUUUGAAAACUAGAGCUAUCUUGACUAUUAUUAUCUACAGUAUCUGGCAAAUUCUUCCACAAAAUGCUGUAAGUACUACUGUAAGUAGUAGCUAUGAUCAGGUUUAGCCACCUCACAACUUUGCCUUUACUACCCUUUAAGAAGCAGGUAGUAAUUCUCACAGCAAGAUGCCCCUAAGGUAAGUAGCAGUCCCUGUGCAUUCAGGGUUAUUGGAAUGUGACUGAAGAAUGCAUGCCCGACUUUACAUUGUAUUUUUUACUCAAGCAUUUAAAAAAAUCAAUCAUCAAGCCCCCAUCAAGGGGCAAUGUGUCAUUUUCCGUCUUGCAAGAUGAGUAUCGAAGGAUGAAUUUGGGUGGGGGUAGGAAAACUGUAAUUUAAACCAAAUCAUAGCAAGCAUCUGCCUUACUUCAAAGACCUCAUUCAUGGUUUUCAGAGUCAAGGCAGUACAUUGGUUAUAUUACUAAGGAAAUAUCAGCCCACAUAUUCCAAGGAAAGAUCAGCCCACGCUGAGAAAGAAGUGACAAGGCAUCUACAUGGUUAAUUACAAUUAAGAAGACAACACCAUGAAAAUCCAGUUGCAUAUGUAUAGCAAAUACUUUACGUGUGAGGGAAGAUUGUCCCAAGUACACUCGGGGGAAAUAAAAGCCCAAGCAGUUAUUAUGGGUGAGAAAAUGCUAGAGGGAAAAAUUCUCCAGCAGGUCAGACCAGAGCUGCCAUGGGACACAGCAGGAAAACACAAGCACCUCACCUCCUCUACUUGCCUCGUCUACUGGCACAGCAGUAGGAACAGCACCCACCAAAUAACCAAGGAAGAACAAGUUCUUACCAUUACAGUUCCAACAGAACAUCUUGGUGCAGUUUAUGCAAAGAUCACAUAAUGCAAUUGAUUUAAAAGCUCAGGGGAAAGUUACCUCAGGAAAAUCAGCUGUGAAAGGCAAUUAAGUGACAGGAAACCACAGAAGUGAGAGGAUGCACUGUGAGCAAGGUCCUAUCAGCAACCAAAAAGGUUGCUUAUUUGGGGGUUAUGUGCCCCCAGAGGAAGUCGUUCAACGUGUACUUUUUAUUGCAGAAACUGAAAUACAAGACAAAUUAGUCUUUUAGGAUAUAGCAGCUUUCUCCAAACAUGAGCUAAACCAAUGAUCCUCAUAGCAAAGAUCACUGGGAUGGACCCCAAGAGAUCACAGGUCCUCUGGCAGGGUGUGUCAGUGAGCUGGAAAUGCAGAUGCUAAGGCAUUGAGUUUGAGGUCAUAAAACACAUGGACCUCUGGAAUCAGAAGAGCAAACAUGAAUCUGUUAUUACAAUUUUGCAGAAAGUUUCAGCUGCAGCUGAACAGAGAAUUUUCUAGCUCCUGCCAGUUCUUCCAGUGCAAAGCAAAAUAGGAUUCCUACAAACACUACUGAGCAAAUACAAACGUUUUAGUCCAGUGGCAAAGGCUUAGGCUCGCCUGUUUCAGGUUAACAAAAAGGUCCAAGAAAAGCCAACUGGCAGUUUCUCUAAACCCUCUGCUCUUUCCAGUCUCCUCAGAGAAAGGUUACCUGCCUCUGGUCUGCUGAGCUACCACACCACCCCAUGCAGUGAUUUAGGAGAAGAGAAAACAAGCACAAGUCUGACAAAUUUUCCAGAUGGAUAAGGGCCAGCAGAAAAACCUGCCAACACUGAACUCCUGUAAUCUUCACCAGACCCAACCUUUUUUUUUUUUUUUCCUUCUCUGGAAGAUUUAUCCAUUUCAGGUUUGUGGUCUCUCUUUUCCAAUAAGCCACCUUCAACAUAAGAGAGAUUCAUUUCCCAAAGACUUUUUUCACUAAAAUCAUGGCCAUCUCAGGCAUCUGAAAGACAAGUACAGCAGAGGGACACAACUAAAGAUAUGGGAGACAGAAAUAUACCACAUGAACUGACAGAGGCAAAGAGAGGCCACGCUAAUUUCCCUAACCUCUGCCUCAGGACCUGUCAAAAUGUAUGGGUAGGAAUCCCCUCAUUAUCUUGACAACCAGUUGCCAAAUUAGUUUGAGUCAAAUGUCUCUCAUCUGCCAGUUAGAAGAAAACACAGAUGUUGUACACUUGGGUUACUUCUCACAUAUCUGGGCAGCGUGUAAAAAAAUGAGCAAGUGUGUAAAAUGUUCAUCCCCUCACACAUGUACGCAAACAGCAGCUGCGGUGGGCACCCAGCACAGGGUGCAGCCCACGCUGCCAGAGCAGGAGGCGGAAUACACAAAGAUAAACCUUACUUAGGAAUGCUCACGUGCUGAGUUAAGUACUGUGAUAAUUAAAUCGUUAGUCACAUUGACAAGUGGGUGGAAGAGGCUGGAAACGUCUGAUGCAGUUUGCUACAGGCAAUCAUAGAUUUACCAGUGAUGCAUCUGUCACACACAAAGAUGGGCUCAGACCCAAGGAUCAGCAACGGCACAACUUCAGCCUAUGUGCCAGAAGCAAAAUGGAACGAAGACACCAGCCCUGCAUCCCCAGUGCUGUAAAACAACCAAGACCCACUAUCAACCUACCUCAUGCAAGCAGCUGUAUGAUUUCACAUACUCAAAAUAUUCAUCUGGGAAAAAACUGACAGAGGCUAAUCCUUAUCUAGAGAUCUGGGGAUUUCCCUUCUUGAAAUUCUCCCUGAUAGUGCUAACUAUUUAUCUACCAUUUAUAUGUCCCCAGUCUUGUUAUGCAUAAUAUCUCACUUGGCUACUGCAUAACAUAAGGUUUGCAGGGUCAGCACAGAUGUGACAGCAUUUCAGUAAAUACCUAACCACUCUCUUCAGUAUCUGCCCCUCACACAGUACCAACUCAUCUUUGCAAGAGUUUUCAAUCUCCUUUAAAGUACAAAACUGAAAGUACCUAUGUUUGACUUAAUGAACAAAAUUUUACAUGACAGCUGAUGGUGCAAAAUUUGGUCUUGUAACCUGUGGUGGUGGGUUUUUGUUAAUCUGUUCUGGAGGUAUGUAUCCCAGUGAUUCCUCCUCAUAUCCCCCCCGAUAAGUCAGGUACUGUACAAAGGUAUCUCUUCCCUCUUUGUCCACCUCUCCUGGCCCUGCCCUGUCUCUGGAAGCUUUGGUCUGCUGUCCAUCUUUCCCCUGACCCUGCCCUAUGUUAUAGAAAAACACCUCUCAGUCUGCCCCGGGGCCAGUCCCGUUUGUUCACGCCCCUCACCCCCGUUUAAAAGUACGCGCGGGCUUUGUCCCGUCCUCUUUUUUCGUCCCCCCCUUUAUUCCCCUUGGGGAAAAAAGGUCUCUGAGAAAUCAUACGAAAAAGAGCCUUCUCUAUUCCUUGUUCCAAAGCCUAGACACCACGACACCUGUUUGCCAUAGAACAGCCUUGUUCUGCACUGUCACCUGAGACUGCUGGCAGGUUUGGGAACAGCCCUUGGCACAGCCGGGAAUCACAGCUAGCUGGGUUCUACCGGCUCGUGUCAGUAACCCAGAGCACCAGCCCUUGUUGCACAACCAGCCUCAAAACUCCUCCACUCACAGCAACAUAAUUAGGAAGGGGAGACGGAGAAAGGGAAAAAAUGGUAACCUGUAUUAGGACACCUCACUUGCUGUGCUGGUCCCACUCCAGAGAAGCCUGUGCAGCCUCCCCAAGUCUAGAAUUAAUGGUUACUAGAGAAGCCCAAGGCUUGUGGGGAGUCUGUUUACUUGCUGAUUCCUGCGACAGGUCAACUUUCAGGAAACAGGGGUCUGUAGGAACAUGCACAAAGAGGACAAGACUCACAGCAAGAAGGUGAGGUGGGUUGUUUUUCCCCCAAAAAUUUUUAUUUGAGAAAGUUGACAAAAGUCCCCCAACCAGUCAUUACAGGUGAAUCCACAGCAGUGCCCCACACCUGCUCCCCAGUAACUACACCAGUACAGUGAAGACCAAAACAUAACACCACAACGAUGAGAAUGUAAGUCACCUGGAGAACUUAAGGCCUCACCAUCAUUUUUAUGAUAACUUUGUACUCAGAUAAGGAUGGGAAGAGGAUAUCAAAACAGACAAGACUGGAAAAGCCCCUUUCUUGUACUGUCUUCUCAAGUUAUAUAAAAACAAAAGCAAAACCUUAACAGAUCUACAGGCUUCAAACUGCAGGACCUAAAUGACUUCUGUAUUUCAGUCCUGUGGCACUGCUGCUGUUCUGCACUGUAACAGCUUUCAAAAACAUACAAGGAUAAAAUGGAUGCAAGGGCAGAGGAGUGGACUUAGGAUCCUAAUAUGGCUUUAUCAAAAACCAAACAAAUUAAAAGCAAUCAAAGUACUUGCAGUGGAACUAACAACUCCAGGAACUUGGGAAUGGCAAAGAACGAAUGUAUUUAGAUGACAGGACAUCAUCUUUACAUCCUCUUUUCCAUUGCCUCACCCUGGACAACGGUUUCCUUCCUAAUAAUAGAUCAGACUCAGGUCAGAAAUUAUAAAACUAUGCCUUUUUGAAACUGCUAGGCUGGGCUCAGGGCCAUGACAACCCCAUUCCUACCCAGAAGUAUCUAGACACAGGACACCAGAAUGCUGUGCUGCUGAACCACUUGCUCUGAAGGAAUGCAGAGACGAUGAAAGAAUUGUAAUCACUGUCUAAAAGCUGCAACAAGUCCAGGAAGUUAACCUGCCUGCUUUUUUUCCCAGUCCAGUUUAUUUAACAUAAGACCAUCUGGACAGCCGAGAAACGGUGAGAAGCUGCUGGCUCUGGCUAACUAGCAGUGCACAGGAAAAUAACAGUUCUCUUGAGGGCACAGUUCAGACUGCCCCCUCAGAUGUAGAAUUAGCCUAUUCCCACCCUGUACUGCCUUUUUUCAGUUCAUCCACAUUUUCCCAACUCCUCUGCCACCCUGCACAGCACUAUUGUACCCUCAGACCUCAAUGCAGGGCACAGG